GGAGACACACGGCGGGUGCUAACGUCCGUCGUGAAGAGGGAAACAACCCAGACCGCCAGCUAAGGUCCCAAAGUCAUGGUUAAGUGGGAAACGAUGUGGGAAGGCCCAGACAGCCAGGAUGUUGGCUUAGAAGCAGCCAUCAUUUAAAGAAAGCGUAAUAGCUCACUGGUCGAGUCGGCCUGCGCGGAAGAUGUAACGGGGCUAAACCAUGCACCGAAGCUGCGGCAGCGACGCUUAUGCGUUGUUGGGUAGGGGAGCGUUCUGUAAGCCUGUGAAGGUGUGCUGUGAGGUAUGCUGGAGGUAUCAGAAGUGCGAAUGCUGACAUAAGUAACGAUAAAGCGGGUGAAAAGCCC
Molecule: ribosomal RNA, 353 nt
Filed under: Shigella flexneri
Lineage: Bacteria; Pseudomonadati; Pseudomonadota; Gammaproteobacteria; Enterobacterales; Enterobacteriaceae
Description: bacterial LSU rRNA
Rfam family: Bacterial large subunit ribosomal RNA
Source: RNAcentral